CCCAGAAGUUUCUGUAGGUUGUACACAAGCGAUAGGAGGUGAACAAAUCUCCAAAUUUGACUGGCUGUGGAGACUUGUCUGAGAUGUUUUUUCAAGAAACAUGGCGGAGUAACAACAAGGACAACAGAGCUGAUCAGCUAUUAACAGUUAUUACAAGUUGAGGAAGAACGGAAGUAUGGUGUGACAGCUGAAGAGAGGCAGGAAAUGUUGGUAGAAGAGAGUGUGGGAUGCCGUGGAGAAAAGGGCCAAAAACGGAUUUGAGCUGCUGAGACAUAAACGCUAGGCUAUCUGCUCUCCCUGUCCAUGAUGUUUUAUGUGCUUGAUUUAUUUGACUGUCAACUGUAUUCAAUCUUGGUCUUAUUUGUUUUAUGCUACAUUGUUGUUUUUAUUUUCAUGGUUUAAGAUUGUAUUGUUGUGUAUUUUACUGUUGAAAUUUUUUACAUUUUAAAAAGCACUUUGUGAAAUUGGUUUUGAUAAGUGCUUAUAAAUAAACCUUAUUAUUAUUAUUAUUACUUAAGUUUUCAAUUCACUGUUUAUUUUUUCUAAUGAAUAAUUAAACCAUUUAUUAUUAAUUUACAAUUGUAUUACACUGGUCCAAGAAAGAGGGGAAAUAAUUAAGCAUUAUUAAAACAAUGAGCAUUAGCGUGGACUAAUUGGAUUUUUACUGUUAAUUUGUUCUUGGUCUUUUCACAUGGCUGAUCUGAUACUGCUGUCUGAAGGUCUGCUGAUCUGGAAAUGAGAGGAGGAAAUUUGAUUAAUGGAUUCAGCCUGAAUCCAUUUGAAAAAGCACAGCGAGCCAUAUCAUGUUUCUGUCCGAUUUCUUUUUUUUUUUUAAGGAGGGGGGAGUGGGGGUGUUGUGUAACAGGAUGAUGUAAUCCAUCUAAUAAUUGAACAUUUCCGGCUUUAUUCUGUCCUGUUGUCUGUUCUGAUGUGAUGCACCUGGUCAGGCAGUGACUGAAAAUAAAUCUUAUUGGAGCUGU
This is a long non-coding RNA of Labrus bergylta (ballan wrasse), 980 nucleotides long. RefSeq lists it as uncharacterized. Lineage: Eukaryota; Metazoa; Chordata; Actinopteri; Labriformes; Labridae. The record is from RefSeq and is a predicted model, not a curated record.